Helianthus annuus (common sunflower) is the source of this 1162-nucleotide long non-coding RNA. RefSeq lists it as uncharacterized. Lineage: Eukaryota; Viridiplantae; Streptophyta; Magnoliopsida; Asterales; Asteraceae. The transcript is spliced from 5 exons. The record is from RefSeq and is a predicted model, not a curated record.
UAGUUUUCGCUUCCCUCCAUCGACCUAAUAACCUCCAAAACCCGGCCUCUAUCUAUCCUCAUAACUCCUCACUUUUCAUUUACCACACACUACAACCCUCGCUUCAGAUCAAAUCCUCUCAAUCUUCACCUAAUCUUGGUCUUGUUUCUAUCGGUUUACCCAACAAAUAAGCUGAUCUAGGGUUUGUUUGUGUUCAAUUUCACCAACACAUAUACUUUUAUGCUUUUCAAUCAAAGGAUCUCUCACAAGAAAUCAAUGAUAACAUCUGUGAAUCGUUCAAUUAUUUGUUCGGUCUUCCGGUAUCUACACGUACACUUGAGUUAAAGCUUCGAUGUUCUGAAGAAACACAACGAUAACUUCGCGAACAGUACUUGUAUUUGAAAUCCAAAUUGAAUGAGAAAGGUGAAUUCAUCGAGCGUGUUAGGGUUUGUUUUUAAUAUACCAUAUUACAGUUUUCUUCUGGUUUCACUUGCUUGUUUUCUUCGGAGGUGAUCGUACCCUACUGCAAGAUUAUAUAAAUGAAAAAUACCAGGUAUCCCAAUCAGAUCUAUCAAGACAUGUGGCGACCAACACUUCUUCAUAUGAUUAUGCAAUCGUUGAUGUCAGCUUCAGAUUCAAAUCUUUCAAAUAACUUAAGAGUGUUACUACCCAUGUAAUGUAGGUGGGAGUGGCUUAACCGAAGGUUAUCAUCACAAUGUGCUGCGCUAAGAAGCCGAUGGAUGAUGUUUAUAGAGAAGUGUUUGUGUUGGCCCAGCUCUCUGUUAAAUUAAUCCCAGAAUAGAAAAUAAUUGAUAAACAGAGAUUUUGACCAAACAAAAUGGAUAAACACUUUUAUAUAUGUAUAUAUAUUUAGUGAAGCUUUGUAAAUCCUUCUUAUUAUGAUCUUCUAUAAGUAAUUGUUUUUUUUAUGCUUGAUUGACAGUGUCAAAAAGGAUAGAGCAAAUUAUGGAUCACUCUAUGUUCCUUUGUUGCAGAAACUCAGUAAACAACAGGCAAAUGAAAUUUAUAUGGUUCCAGUUGCAAGUAUAAACUGAAGAUGUUGGUUUCGGUUGCAAAUAUGAAGACUUGGGUUCGGAAGGUUAUUGUAUAUCGUUUUCACCUUUAAACAUUUACAUAUUUAUGUUACUUUUAAACUUUUGUAAUUAUUUGUGUUACUUUAAAA